Molecule: non-coding RNA, 72 nt
Organism: Emiliania huxleyi CCMP1516
Lineage: Eukaryota; Haptophyta; Isochrysidales; Noelaerhabdaceae
Source: Rfam
GGCUCGUUGGCGCAACGGCAGCGCGUUCGACUCCAGAUCGAAAGGUUGGAGGUUCGAAUCCUUCACGGGUCA